CCUACGGGCGGCAGCAGUGAGGAAUAUUGGUCAAUGGACGAGAGUCUGAACCAGCCAAGUAGCGUGAAGGAUGACUGCCCUAUGGGUUGUAAACUUCUUUUAUAAAGGAAUAAAACGAGGCACGUGUGCCUUUUUGCAUGUACUUUAUGAAUAAGGAUCGGCUAACUCCGUGCCAGCAGCCGCGGUAAUACGGAGGAACCGAGCGUUAUACGGAUUGAUUGGGUUUAAAGGGAGCGUAGAUGGGUUUUUAAGUCAGUUGUGAAAGUUUGCGGCUCAACCGUAAAAUUGCAAUUGAUACUGGCAGUCUUGAGUACAGUUGAGGUAGGCGGAAUUCGUGGUGUAGCGGUGAAAUGCUUAGAUAUCACGAAGAACCCCGAUUGCGAAGGCAGCUUACUAAACUGUGACUGACAUUGAUGCUCGAAAGUGUGGGUAUCAAACAGGAUUAGAUACCCGAGUAGUC
This 460-nucleotide ribosomal RNA is filed under the name uncultured bacterium. RNAcentral's name for it is "partial 16S ribosomal RNA". It matches the Rfam family "Bacterial small subunit ribosomal RNA", at positions 338 to 795 of the family's 1533-position model. The record is from RNAcentral.